CAAAGAGUGCGUAAUAGCUCACUGGUCGAGUGAUUUUGCGCCGAAAAUUUAACGGGGCUAAACUGUACACCGAAGCUUGGGAAUAUACAUUUGUAUGUUGGUAGGAGAGCGUUGUGUAAGGGGUGAAGUCGUAGCGAAAGCGGCGGUGGACUUUACACAAGUGAGAAUGCCGGAAUGAGUAGCGAGAAUUAUGUGAGAAUCAUAAUGGCCGAAAGACUAAGGUUUUAGAAGGAAGGUUCGUCCGCUUCUAGUUAGCCGGGAGCUAAGGCGAGGCCGAGAGGCGUAGUCGAUGCACAUACGGUUGAGAUUCCGUAGCUACCUUGCAUUUAAGCGAAGGGACACAUUUGAAGGGCAUGACCCGGGCGUUGGUUGACCCGGGCGUAAGGGACCGAAAAUAAGUAGGGAAGCAUGCUUGGAUGGUGGCGAGAAAAGCUUCGUGUAUAUAAGCAGGGUACCCGUACUGCAAACCGACACAGGUAGUCAGGAAGAGGAUUCUAAGGCCAUCGGGAGAAGCGUUGUUAAGGAACUCGGCAAAUUGACCCCGUAACUUCGGAAUAAGGGGUGCUCACGCGAGUGAGCCGCAGUGAAUAGGUCCAGGCAACUGUUUAUCAAAAACACAGCUCUCUGCUAAAUCGUAAGAUGACGUAUAGGGGGUGACACCUGCCCGGUGCUGGAAGGUUAAGAGGAGGGGUGCAAGCUCCGAAUUGAAGCCCCAGUAAACGGCGGCCGUAACUAUAACGGUCCUAAGGGAGCGAAAUUCCUUGUCGGGUAAGUUCCGACCCGCACGAAUGGUGUAAUGAUCUGGACACUGUCUCAACAACGCACCCGGCGAAAUUGUAGUACCGGUGAAGAUGCCGGUUACCCGCGGCAAGACGGAAAGACCCCAUGGAGCUUCACUGUAGCCUGAUAUUGGGUCUCGGUAUUUUAUGUACAGGAUAGGCGGGAGACUUGGAAACCAGCACGCCAGUGUUGGCGGAGUCACCCUUGGGAUACCGCUCUUAAAGUAUUGAGAUUCUAACCUGCAGCCAUGAAUCUGGCUGGGGGACAUUGUCAGGUGGGCAGUUUGACUGGGGC
Molecule: ribosomal RNA, 1074 nt
Filed under: human gut metagenome
Description: bacterial LSU rRNA
Rfam family: Bacterial large subunit ribosomal RNA
Source: RNAcentral